This is a long non-coding RNA of Drosophila innubila, 356 nucleotides long. RefSeq lists it as uncharacterized. The transcript is spliced from 2 exons. NCBI's taxonomy places the organism in Eukaryota, Metazoa, Arthropoda, Insecta, Diptera, Drosophilidae. The record is from RefSeq and is a predicted model, not a curated record.
AAGUUUUGAGGAGGGCUUCAAAGGCAUUUCCGUUCAGUUCAAAUUAAUGCGACGAAGAGCCUAAUGACUUUCCAAAAGUAUUUAAAGGAACCUUCCCACUUUGACUCCGGCUCGGACUCAAACUCAAACUACGGCUUUGCCUCCGCCCUCCAUUAAGAAUUGUGCUUAAUUUAAAUUUUGGACCAAAACUUUUUGUGCAAACCAAAAAGAAAACGAAACAAAUUUACGCUGGCGAAUCGACUAACUGCAAAUGUUUCUAAAUAUGCUACUUUAAAAUAUGCAAAUGCAAAUGGAGUUGGAGCUGAGCGACAAGGAGGCGAGAGUUAAAUUGAAUCAACUGAAUUCGAUAUGCAAAA